RNAcentral lists this ribosomal RNA (113 nucleotides) under Cyanophora paradoxa. Lineage: Eukaryota; Glaucocystophyceae; Cyanophorales; Cyanophoraceae. The record is from RNAcentral.
AAACGAUUUAUUAAUCAUGUUGAAACACCCGAUCUCAUUCUGAACUCGAUGUGUGAAAAUUUUUCAAAUCUCAUAAUACUUUAAAUAUAUUUAAGGGAACAUGAGACUAAUUU